AUGGCCGUGAACUGCCUAUACGUCGCCGCCGCAUCCACGGCGGCCAGUGCCGCCGCGCUGCAGUGGUGGGCGGCGUCCUUCCUCGACGCCCCACGGGACGGGGAUGUCGGCGGCGGGGACUGGCUCGAGACCUCGUUGCGAUCGCACGUGACCGUCGCGCUCUUAGCGAAUCUGGCGGCGCACGUCCUCCUCGUCCUCCUCCUAGCUCUCAAGACAUUAUUUUUUGUUCGGUUAACUUCUACAGAGACUAGAAAAGUGUUGGAACACAUCAUUAACUAUGUAAUCUACAAGGGAACUUUUCUCCCAUUGGUUGUGCCUCCUAAUUCUCAACAAAUAAUCCUUUGGUCAACUUGGCUAGUCCUUCUUUGUUCACUGAAGAUGUUUCAAUCAUUGGCCAGAGAACGUCUUGAGUGCCUCAAUGCGUCACCCUCAGCAACUCCAUUGAAAUAUCUCCGUGUAUAUUCUGCGCUGUUGCUGGUUCUUUCGACUGAUCUACUAUGGAUGAAGCUUUGUGUAGGGUUCUGCAGUUCAUGCAAUUCUACGUUAUUUUGGCUUAUGUUAUUUGAGCCACUUAGUAUUGCCUUUGAGUCACUGCAGUCUAUCAUGGUGCAUGGAUUUCAGUUGUUUGACAUUUGGCAGCGACAUCUGAUGGACAGUGGUGUGGGCUAUCUUGAUUUCCAAAAAACUUAUAAACAAGCAGCAGGUUCAUUUUCUGAAUGGAGAGGCCAACUUAUAAGGAAUUUUGGUUUUGUCAUUGACCUGAUAAGCUUGUUGAUGUCACUUGGUCAUUAUUCGAUGAUCUUUUGGCUCCGUGGUAUGGCGUUUCACCUGGUCGACGCAGUCCUCCUGUUGAACUUGCGUGCUCUUGUAGUUUCAUUUUUGAAGAGGAUUAAGACCUACAUUAAGUUAAGAAAGGCACUCCGUUCGCUCGAUGGAGCACUCCCAGAUGCUAAAUACGAUGAGAUCUGCACAUAUGAUGAUGAGUGUGCCAUCUGCCGGGGACCAAUGGCUCGAGCUAAAAAGUUGCCUUGCGACCAUCUAUUUCAUCUACCUUGCUUGCGAUCUUGGUUGGAUCAAGGAUUAAUGGAGGGUUACUCUUGUCCAACUUGUCGAAGGCCACUCUUUCUUUCAGCUCAAGGACAUUCUAGGUCAACAACAGCAGAGGUAGCAAAUGUUCAGCUAAUUUCGGAACAGCUAAAUAUGGGAUUAAAUCAGCAAAGGGUUCCUGAACAGCAGGAUCCUUCAGAUGGUGUUUGGAGAGGUGCGGGUCUUGAUUCUCGCUGGGCACCACCGUGGUCGAGCCCUGGGGUGGAUGACCCCAGUUCCUCUAGUGCAGUGAGAUCCGUGGGGCUUAGUGGAGUUCAGAUGAUGAUGAGGCAGUUCGCUUCUGUGACUGAUAAUUAUGGGCAUGCAGAUGCCACCUGGAAUCUGUGGCCUGAGUCAAUGGCAGGCCCUUCAAUUGUUCCAUCAUCUUCCUCGAGGCCUGAUGUGGCUUCUGCUAGCUUGCGGUUCCGAGGCACGGCAGGAACAAUUAAUGGAAGCAUGUCGCGGGUUAAUACCAUGGUAGAUAGAGUACGGGAAGUUUUACCCCAUAUGCCUGACGAGCUAAUUAUUGAAGACCUGAUGAGAACGAAUAAUGUGAAUGCCACUGUGAAUAAUCUUCUGCUGAUGCAAUGA
This 1677-nucleotide ribosomal RNA is filed under the name Triticum aestivum (bread wheat). RNAcentral describes it as "partial small subunit ribosomal RNA". The record is from RNAcentral. Lineage: Eukaryota; Viridiplantae; Streptophyta; Magnoliopsida; Poales; Poaceae.